Molecule: small RNA, 272 nt
Filed under: Arabidopsis thaliana (thale cress)
Lineage: Eukaryota; Viridiplantae; Streptophyta; Magnoliopsida; Brassicales; Brassicaceae
Description: ATSL168460
Source: RNAcentral
AACUUUUAAAUUUUUAAUCCCAUUUGAGUCAUGUUGUUAAAUAGGUUAAUAGAAUUUUUUACGACGUUAAUGUUCCGUUUAUCUGCUCUGUUAGAACAAAACAAUGUCGUUUAUUACAGAGACAAACGACGUCGUUUUAUCUGUUGAAACAAAUUUUAAACCCUAAAUCCCCAAAUCGAUUUCAUUAUCUCAAAUCCUAUAGAGGCCGAAUCGAUUUGAAUCCCAUCUGGUGAGGAGACAAACAAUGUUCCUCAGCCCAAAUCAAAUCGAAA